RNAcentral lists this unclassified non-coding RNA (347 nucleotides) under soil metagenome. RNAcentral describes it as "partial contains 5.8S ribosomal RNA, internal transcribed spacer 2, and large subunit ribosomal RNA". The stretch from base 1 to 120 matches the Rfam family "5.8S ribosomal RNA", at positions 35 to 154 of the family's 154-position model. The record is from RNAcentral.
GAUGAAGAACGUAGCGAAAUGCGAUAAGUAAUGUGAAUUGCAGAAUUCCGUGAAUCAUCGAGUCUUUGAACGCACAUUGCGCCCCCUGGUAUUCCGGGGGGCAUGCCUGUCCGAGCGUCAUUGCUGCCCUCAAGCACGGCUUGUGUGUUGGGCCCCGUCCUCCGAUCCCGGGGGACGGGCCCGAAAGGCAGCGGCAGCACCGCGUCCGGUCCUCGAGCGUAUGGGGCUUUGUCACCCGCUCUGUAGGCCCGGCCGGCGCUUGCCGAUCAACCCAAAUUUUUUAUCCAGGUUGACCUCGGAUCAGGUAGGGAUACCCGCUGAACUUAAGCAUAUCAAUAAGCGGAGGA